This is a long non-coding RNA of Dufourea novaeangliae, 209 nucleotides long. RefSeq lists it as uncharacterized. Lineage: Eukaryota; Metazoa; Arthropoda; Insecta; Hymenoptera; Halictidae. The record is from RefSeq and is a predicted model, not a curated record. The transcript is spliced from 3 exons.
GAUUAUUUUCUCCUCGUUAUCGAGCAUUUUUUAUAUUCAAGGAGAAAUUCUAGAAAUUACUAAAUGGAAUGUAAAUAUUCCCAUAUUUGUGGUCUGUUAAUAACAAAUGGGGUAAACAACGUAGACCAAAGCUUAUUGCCUCUGAUAAUACACAACGACGGAACGAGCAUUGUUUAUCAAGUUUUUGCGCUUGGAAGUGCCUCCCCCCC